This 800-nucleotide ribosomal RNA is filed under the name Clostridioides difficile. RNAcentral's name for it is "bacterial SSU rRNA". It matches the Rfam family "Bacterial small subunit ribosomal RNA", at positions 1 to 829 of the family's 1533-position model. The record is from RNAcentral. Lineage: Bacteria; Bacillati; Bacillota; Clostridia; Peptostreptococcales; Peptostreptococcaceae.
UUAUUUGAGAGUUUGAUCCUGGCUCAGGAUGAACGCUGGCGGCGUGCCUAACACAUGCAAGUUGAGCGAUUUACUUCGGUAAAGAGCGGCGGACGGGUGAGUAACGCGUGGGUAACCUACCCUGUACACACGGAUAACAUACCGAAAGGUAUGCUAAUACGGGAUAAUAUAUUUGAGAGGCAUCUCUUGAAUAUCAAAGGUGAGCCAGUACAGGAUGGACCCGCGUCUGAUUAGCUAGUUGGUAAGGUAACGGCUUACCAAGGCGACGAUCAGUAGCCGACCUGAGAGGGUGAUCGGCCACAUUGGAACUGAGACACGGUCCAAACUCCUACGGGAGGCAGCAGUGGGGAAUAUUGCACAAUGGGCGAAAGCCUGAUGCAGCAACGCCGCGUGAGUGAUGAAGGCCUUCGGGUCGUAAAACUCUGUCCUCAAGGAAGAUAAUGACGGUACUUGAGGAGGAAGCCCCGGCUAACUACGUGCCAGCAGCCGCGGUAAUACGUAGGGGGCUAGCGUUAUCCGGAUUUACUGGGCGUAAAGGGUGCGUAGGCGGUCUUUCAAGUCAGGAGUGAAAGGCUACGGCUCAACCGUAGUAAGCUCUUGAAACUGGGAGACUUGAGUGCAGGAGAGGAGAGUGGAAUUCCUAGUGUAGCGGUGAAAUGCGUAGAUAUUAGGAGGAACACCAGUUGCGAAGGCGGCUCUCUGGACUGUAACUGACGCUGAGGCACGAAAGCGUGGGGAGCAAACAGGAUUAGAUACCCUGGUAGUCCACGCUGUAAACGAUGAGUACUAGGUGUCGGGGG